RNAcentral lists this ribosomal RNA (452 nucleotides) under uncultured organism. Its description in RNAcentral is "partial 16S ribosomal RNA". It matches the Rfam family "Bacterial small subunit ribosomal RNA", at positions 329 to 797 of the family's 1533-position model. The record is from RNAcentral.
ACGUACACUCCUACGGGAGGCAGCAGUGGGGAAUAUUGGACAAUGGGCGCAAGCCUGAUCCAGCCAUGCCGCGUGAGUGAUGAAGGCCCUAGGGUUUUAAAGCUCUUUCACCGGUGAAGAUAAUGACGGUAACCGGAGAAGAAGCCCCGGCUAACUUAGUGCCAGCAGCCGCGGUAAUACGAAGGGGGCUAGCGUUGUUCGGAUUUACUGGGCGUAAAGCGCACGUAGGCGGACUAUUAAGUCAGGGGUGAAAUCCCGGGGCUCAACCCCGGAACUGCCUUUGAUACUGGUAGUCUUGAGUUCGAGAGAGGUGAGUGGAAUUCCGAGUGUAGAGGUGAAAUUCGUAGAUAUUCGGAGGAACACCAGUGGCGAAGGCGGCUCACUGGCUCGAUACUGACGCUGAGGUGCGAAAGCGUGGGGAGCAAACAGGAUUAGAAACCCGGGUAGUCCCA